UGUACCCAGGAACACUUCCCUCUCUCUCUUUCCCCCGCUCCUUCUCCACUGACCCUCCCAAAACCAAACACCCACCCACCUGCUUUUCGGAAUCUGCGAGCACUUUCCACCACCACCUUCUGCGUCUCAUGCCGGCGUUGGGGGGGGUCACUGCUUAGGCUGAACGGUUCCCUGACCUGAGUCAGUGGGGGUAAGUGCCAGUGGAGCACAAGUAAAGGGCGGAGCUGGAUGAAACGAGCAGUAAGAAACACCUGCAGCUGAAAAAACUAAUCAGUGCCCUCUGUUUCAGUCCGGCGACGACAAGAAAGAGAGAGAGCCACCAAGCAGAGACGAGCGGAAGGAUCGCUGAAAAGACGUGCCGGCCGGCAAGCGCACUCGGGCAAACGCCAGGGAAAAGCGUGCCGGUCUGCGAGGAAACUCAGGUGGGCGCUAAAGAGAGAAGAGCUAAACUGAAAGAACGGGAUGGCAAAUGACCUCAUCAGUGUCAGAGAUACAAAACAGAUACAGAUCCCUACAAAAUCCAGGCUCAGAAAUCACAGCAUGGCGAAAGAAGGACUGACACAAACAGACACAAUGUCUUAAAGAAGAGAGUGUGCUGUCAGUGUUCGACUGAUGACCUGGAGACAGAGGAGCACUUUCUGCUUUACUGUAGUACCUUUCCCGACACAAGAGGACAAAUACACUCUAUAGACAAAGUUGGCUCUUGGUCUCCUGAUGAAACUGCAGUAUUUUGAUAGUCAUCCAGGAAAGCUGUACAAGUGGGUCGGGAUGGAGAGGAAUUUUCUGGUGCUGGUUUGUCGCUGUUUGAAGUUCGCCGUUCUGUCUCGAGCAGAACAACAGAAACUGCGAGACAUUCGGCCAAAGAAAAUAUUCAGAAUCAUUACUCAACAUGUUACUCAGUUUCUUCCGUGUUAGUCAUAACCAUUACAUUGGCACUAACUAAAACCUGCGUGUGUGUAUUCAUACAAGUGUACAUCCAAGGCCGUUUCCUGUAGUGUGCUGGUCUUGGACACAGAAAAACAAAAUGAAGACUUUGGAGUGGCCUAGUCAAAGUCCUGACCUGAAACCUAUUGAGAUGCUGGGCAUUACCUUAAAAAGGCGGUUCAUGAGUGGACUAAAAUUCCUCCACAGCUCUUUAAGACGAGCGCUUUAAGAGCCGAAGAACUAGAAGGCGUGAGAGAUCUGGAAGACCUGCGAUGAGCUCAACCCUCGAAAAUGUCGGACUUCGCCCUCUUCUGGAUAAAGAUUCGGCUCAACGGUCGCCGAAUUGACACCGUUGAAAAGAUCCAGAACGAAACCCGGAAGGUGCUUGACACGCUUCCGGGACAAAUUGGCAGGAAUGCUGGGAUCACUGUAUUUCUGUGCAAGGGGACUAUUUGAAGGUGAUUGUGUAUAAAUAUAGAUCAAUUUAGUACUUUCUUGUAAACAGAGCAGGUCUCGGAACUUUUUGAUACCACCUUGUGUAUGAUCACGUACUGGCCACUUCAUUAUUGCACAAUACUUCAAGCUUCAUGACAGGUUAGUGACAUCAGCCUGUCACAGGAAGUCUAGAACUGCAUUGGGUUGUUUUACCAGAUUUGCGUUCCUGGCUGACAUGAGUGGAACCUGAGGUGCGAUGCAAAAUUGGACGAAUACAGAAAUACAUAAUACAGAAUACAUCAGGAAAUUCAAAUCUAAAAUGAAAGUCUCCCAAACACUUUUGCCAUUCGUUUAUGCAUUCUGGUGUUUCUGGUGCUUCUACAUAAAAGCUCCAGAAUGUCAGUUCUGAUUUCGCAGGAACUUGGCUGAAAGCAAGACUGAGUUGCCAAACAUAGUUCUAUAAUUAACAUACUAUCCAGACAUGGUCAUGCAUAAUACAUCACAUGGUAAUACUAACGCUGGAUACACUGUAGUUACAUGCAAGACUUGCAUUUAAACCAGACCCAGCAACAUUUCCAUUAGGAAACUAUCUGCAUAUUAAUUCAGUUCAAUUCGGUUUUAUUUGUACAGUGCGUUUGACAACGAAUAGCAGCUUUCGAGGAAAUUAAUAGGUUAAGAAAAUAUAAAACAAACAUUUAAAUGUAUGAGUUUAUCCUGUAUUUAGCGAGCCAGAGGUGAUGUGCAAAGGGAGGCUCCAGACUCAAAAAGGAACACAUCAUCCCAUUACAUGGGUGACACAAGAUAUUCAUUCAUUAUAGAUUCAUCUCAUAUAGGUUCUGACUCUUUUUUCCUUCAUUCCUCCUUUGUCAUCCCUUCCUUCUUCCCUUCCUUCCUUAAUCUGUCAUGUACCCCUUUGUUCGUUCCUCGUUUUUCAUCCCUUUCUACUUUCCUUCAUUUGUUCCGUCAUCCCUUCCUCUAUACUUCGUUUUUCCGUUUCUUCCUUCCUCCUAUCCUUCAUUUGUUUAUUAAUUCCUUCCGUUACCCUUUGUUUUUUCGCUCAUCCCUUCCUCCUAUCCUUAGUUUUUUAAUCAUUCCUGUUGUUUUUUUCCAUGCAUCCCUUUUAUUCUUUCCUUCA
Molecule: long non-coding RNA, 2494 nt
Organism: Silurus meridionalis
Lineage: Eukaryota; Metazoa; Chordata; Actinopteri; Siluriformes; Siluridae
Exons: 3
Source: RefSeq, a predicted model, not a curated record